GCGGCGUGCCUAAUACAUGCAGUCGAGCGAACGGACGAGAAGCUUGCUUCUCUGAUGUUAGCGGCGGACGGGUGAGUAACACGUGGAUAACCUACCUAUAAGACUGGGAUAACUUCGGGAAACCGGAGCUAAUACCGGAUAAUAUUUUGAACCGCAUGGUUCAAAAGUGAAAGACGGUCUUGCUGUCACUUAUAGAUGGAUCCGCGCUGCAUUAGCUAGUUGGUAAGGUAACGGCUUACCAAGGCAACGAUGCAUAGCCGACCUGAGAGGGUGAUCGGCCACACUGGAACUGAGACACGGUCCAGACUCCUACGGGAGGCAGCAGUAGGGAAUCUUCCGCAAUGGGCGAAAGCCUGACGGAGCAACGCCGCGUGAGUGAUGAAGGUCUUCGGAUCGUAAAACUCUGUUAUUAGGGAAGAACAUAUGUGUAAGUAACUGUGCACAUCUUGACGGUACCUAAUCAGAAAGCCACGGCUAACUACGUGCCAGCAGCCGCGGUAAUACGUAGGUGGCAAGCGUUAUCCGGAAUUAUUGGGCGUAAAGCGCGCGUAGGCGGUUUUUUAAGUCUGAUGUGAAAGCCCACGGCUCAACCGUGGAGGGUCAUUGGAAACUGGAAAACUUGAGUGCAGAAGAGGAAAGUGGAAUUCCAUGUGUAGCGGUGAAAUGCGCAGAGAUAUGGAGGAACACCAGUGGCGAAGGCGACUUUCUGGUCUGUAACUGACGCUGAUGUGCGAAAGCGUGGGGAUCAAACAGGAUUAGAUACCCUGGUAGUCCACGCCGUAAACGAUGAGUGCUAAGUGUUAGGGGGUUUCCGCCCCUUAGUGCUGCAGCUAACGCAUUAAGCACUCCGCCUGGGGAGUACGACCGCAAGGUUGAAACUCAAAGGAAUUGACGGGGACCCGCACAAGCGGUGGAGCAUGUGGUUUAAUUCGAAGCAACGCGAAGAACCUUACCAAAUCUUGACAUCCUUUGACAACUCUAGAGAUAGAGCUUUCCCCUUCGGGGGACAAAGUGACAGGUGGUGCAUGGUUGUCGUCAGCUCGUGUCGUGAGAUGUUGGGUUAAGUCCCGCAACGAGCGCAACCCUUAAGCUUAGUUGCCAUCAUUAAGUUGGGCACUCUAAGUUGACUGCCGGUGACAAACCGGAGGAAGGUGGGGAUGACGUCAAAUCAUCAUGCCCCUUAUGAUUUGGGCUACACACGUGCUACAAUGGACAAUACAAAGGGCAGCGAAACCGCGAGGUCAAGCAAAUCCCAUAAAGUUGUUCUCAGUUCGGAUUGUAGUCUGCAACUCGACUACAUGAAGCUGGAAUCGCUAGUAAUCGUAGAUCAGCAUGCUACGGUGAAUACGUUCCCGGGUCUUGUACACACCGCCCGUCACACCACGAGAGUUUGUAACACCCGAAGCCGGUGGAGUAACCUUUUAGGAGCUAGCCGUCGAAGGUGG
Molecule: ribosomal RNA, 1445 nt
Filed under: Staphylococcus aureus
Lineage: Bacteria; Bacillati; Bacillota; Bacilli; Caryophanales; Staphylococcaceae
Description: 16S ribosomal RNA
Rfam family: Bacterial small subunit ribosomal RNA
Source: RNAcentral